ACUUAAAUAGUUUAAAAAAAAUGUUGAUUUGUGAUGUCAAAGAUAUGAUGAUCAUUUUAGGUU
This 63-nucleotide transfer RNA is filed under the name Ocellarnaca sp. RNAcentral's name for it is "tRNA-His". Lineage: Eukaryota; Metazoa; Arthropoda; Insecta; Orthoptera; Gryllacrididae. The record is from RNAcentral.